GACGGGAGCUUGCUCCCUGAUGUUAGCGGCGGACGGGUGAGUAACACGUGGGUAACCUGCCUGUAAGACUGGGAUAACUCCGGGAAACCGGGGCUAAUACCGGAUGCUUGAUUGAACCGCAUGGUUCAAUUAUAAAAGGUGGCUUUUAGCUACCACUUACAGAUGGACCCGCGGCGCAUUAGCUAGUUGGUGAGGUAACGGCUCACCAAGGCAACGAUGCGUAGCCGACCUGAGAGGGUGAUCGGCCACACUGGGACUGAGACACGGCCCAGACUCCUACGGGAGGCAGCAGUAGGGAAUCUUCCGCAAUGGACGAAAGUCUGACGGAGCAACGCCGCGUGAGUGAUGAAGGUUUUCGGAUCGUAAAACUCUGUUGUUAGGGAAGAACAAGUACCGUUCGAAUAGGGCGGUACCUUGACGGUACCUAACCAGAAAGCCACGGCUAACUACGUGCCAGCAGCCGCGGUAAUACGUAGGUGGCAAGCGUUGUCCGGAAUUAUUGGGCGUAAAGCGCGCGCAGGCGGUUUCUUAAGUCUGAUGUGAAAGCCCCCGGCUCAACCGGGGAGGGUCAUUGGAAACUGGGGAACUUGAGUGCAGAAGAGGAGAGUGGAAUUCCACGUGUAGCGGUGAAAUGCGUAGAGAUGUGGAGGAACACCAGUGGCGAAGGCGACUCUCUGGUCUGUAACUGACGCUGAGGCGCGAAAGCGUGGGGAGCGAACAGGAUUAGAUACCCUGGUAGUCCACGCCGUAAACGAUGAGUGCUAAGUGUUAGAGGGUUUCCGCCCUUUAGUGCUGCAGCAAACGCAUUAAGCACUCCG
This 818-nucleotide ribosomal RNA is filed under the name Bacillus sonorensis. RNAcentral describes it as "bacterial SSU rRNA". It matches the Rfam family "Bacterial small subunit ribosomal RNA", at positions 71 to 871 of the family's 1533-position model. Lineage: Bacteria; Bacillati; Bacillota; Bacilli; Caryophanales; Bacillaceae. The record is from RNAcentral.